Molecule: ribosomal RNA, 448 nt
Filed under: uncultured bacterium
Lineage: Bacteria
Description: partial 16S ribosomal RNA
Rfam family: Bacterial small subunit ribosomal RNA
Source: RNAcentral
AACGAACGCUGGCGGCAGGCCUAACACAUGCAAGUCGAGCGAGGGCUUCGGCCCUAGCGUCGGACGGGUGAGUAUCGCGCGGGAACGUGCGCUUCUCUCUGGAAUAUCACUGGGAAACAGGGCGUCUAAUAGGAGACGCUCUCGCGGGAUGGCUGAUCGUGCGGAAAGAUUUAUCGGGGAAGGAGCGGCCCGCGUCGGAUUAGGUAGUUGGUGGGGUAACGGCCUACCAAGCCGACGAUCCGUAGCUGGUGUGAGAGGAUGAUCAGCCACACUGGGACUGAGACACGGCCCAGACUCCUACGGGAGGCAGCAGUGGGGAAUAUUGGACAAUGGGCGCAACCCUGAUCCAGCCAUGCCGCGUGAGCGAUGAAGGCCUUAGGGUUGUAAAGCUCUUUCAGCCGGGAAGAUAAUGACGGUACCCGCAGAAGAAGCCCCGGCUAACUCCGUG